Leptinotarsa decemlineata (Colorado potato beetle) is the source of this 208-nucleotide long non-coding RNA. The record is from RefSeq and is a predicted model, not a curated record. Lineage: Eukaryota; Metazoa; Arthropoda; Insecta; Coleoptera; Chrysomelidae.
GUCAUCCCGAUGAAGACUGUAGAACAAAAUUAUUGGCGGAUCGAAACUACGAUAUGGUACCAGUACCAAAACCUGUGACAAUAUUCAAAACAAUACAGGAGAAACCACUGCCACAUUUAGAUAACUCACAGUUGAAUGACGAAUUUUACAGCAAGUUUUCCCCAUCGAGUCAACCAGUAUCAGGGUUAGCAAGUUUUGAGCAGAAAGG